Molecule: ribosomal RNA, 235 nt
Filed under: uncultured Actinomycetales bacterium
Lineage: Bacteria; Bacillati; Actinomycetota; Actinomycetes; Actinomycetales
Description: partial 16S ribosomal RNA
Rfam family: Bacterial small subunit ribosomal RNA
Source: RNAcentral
UGGCGAACGGGUGAGUAGCACGUGGGUGAUCUGCCCUGCACUUCGGGAUAAGCUUGGGAAACUGGGUCUAAUACCGGAUAGGAGCCAUCUUUAGUGUGGUGGUUGGAAAGUUUUUUCGGUGUAGGAUGAGCUCGCGGCCUAUCAGCUUGUUGGUGGGGUAAUGGCCUACCAAGGCGGCGACGGGUAGCCGGCCUGAGAGGGUGUACGGCCACAUUGGGACUGAGAUACGGCCCAG